Long non-coding RNA from Ochotona princeps (American pika), 455 nucleotides. RefSeq lists it as uncharacterized. NCBI's taxonomy places the organism in Eukaryota, Metazoa, Chordata, Mammalia, Lagomorpha, Ochotonidae. The transcript has 3 exons. The record is from RefSeq and is a predicted model, not a curated record.
CCGCGCUCUGAUAGGCUCCACCUCCCCCGUGGGGGUCCUGGUAGUCAAGAUGCUCUGAGAGCGCACGGCCGCAAAACAAAAAUGGUGGCUGCUUAGCCCGCCCCCUGGCUGCCAGUCCGGAGUUGCAGAUUCGUCUUGGGGUUUUCUUCAGAAUGACUAGGAAAAAAGAUUGGUAGAGGAUCCGACGUCGCUCAAGAUUACUAUCAUGGCCGGGAGGUCCGCUCCAGGCCAAGUGGCUGUCUUGGACUUGAGCGUUUCGGAGUGUCAUGAUGAGGAACGUGGACCACAAGACCACAGAGUGUGCCAAAUGUUUCCCAGAAAACUCAAUGACAGAAUGGAGACAGGCAAUCAGAAGACUUGCAGUCAUGCUUGGCUUUCUGACAAAUGCAGCCGGCUGCUUCUCCGUCAAAUUUUGAGACAUUUGUUCCCUCAAACAGAAAACGGGAAGGAUUGUU